Molecule: non-coding RNA, 46 nt
Filed under: unclassified sequences
Description: SAM-SAH-Weickhmann-2018 RNA
Rfam family: SAM/SAH riboswitch aptamer
Source: RNAcentral
CCGUCACAACGGCUUCCUGGCGUGACGGCAACACCCUAAUGGAGCA